GACGAACGCUGGCGGCGUGCCUAAACAUGCAAGUCGUGCGGUCUCGCCUUAAGCGAAAGGCCUUCGGGCUUUGAAGCAAAGGCGAGAUAGCGGCGGACGGGUGAGUAACGCGUGGCUUAUCUGUCCCAGGGAGGGGGAUAACGUCUGGAAACGGGCGCUAAUACCCCAUAUGCCGAAAGGUAAAAAGGAGAAAUCCGCCCUGGGGUGAGGCCGCGUCCUAUCAGCUCGUUGGUGAGGUAACGGCCCACCAAGGCUAUGACGGGUAGCCGGCCUGAGAGGGCGGCUGGCCACACUGGGAUUGAGAUACGGCCCAGACUCCUACGGGAGGCAGCAGUGGGGAAUAUUGGGCAAUGGGGGAAACCCUGACCCAGCGACGCCGCGUGGAGGAAGGAGCCCUUCGGGGUGUAAACUCCUGUUGUAAGGGAAGAAGACAGUGACGGUACCUUACGAGGAAGCCCCGGCAAACUACGUG
This 472-nucleotide ribosomal RNA is filed under the name uncultured bacterium. RNAcentral's name for it is "bacterial SSU rRNA". It matches the Rfam family "Bacterial small subunit ribosomal RNA", at positions 28 to 507 of the family's 1533-position model. The record is from RNAcentral.